RNAcentral lists this long non-coding RNA (1127 nucleotides) under Homo sapiens (human). RNAcentral's name for it is "HSALNT0401265". Lineage: Eukaryota; Metazoa; Chordata; Mammalia; Primates; Hominidae. The record is from RNAcentral.
CCUGACCUCGUGAUCCACCCGCCUCGGCCUCCCAAAGUGCUGGGAUUACAGGCGUGAGCCACCGCGCCCGGCCCUAUCUGGUUUUCUUGUACUCAUUCUGGCCCGGCUACACUCCAUUCCCUGCAUUACAAGUCAGCUGUCAUUUCAGAACACAAGUCUGGUGUGCCCCCCUCGACCCCCCCGCCACGCGGCGUUGCCUAAAUUCCUCCACUGUUAGAAUAAAAUCUGGACGCUGAUAUCUGAGCUAAGUCUUGAAGACAUGAGUUCAACAAGCAGAAAAGAGGGAGAAGGGCAUGUGCAGAGGGAGGGAAGUGUGAACAAAUCAUUGACACAUUCAGGUUUCCCUGUCAGGGGACCAGCACUCUGUACACUAAAGCACUGCCUCUUAACAUUAUUGGGAUCUCAAAACAACCCUGUGAGAUAAAUACAGCAUGCAAUUUUCCCACUAGUUUACAAGCAUGGAAACUAGUUUGUGGGAGGCAACAAAUGCAAUGGUUAAGAGCACAGGCAAUACAGUCAGACCCUCUUGGGUUGUAAACCUAUUGAUUCCUCUAGCCAGCUGGGUAAACACUUCUCUGAUCCUUGAUCUCUUACCUACUAAAGAGGAAUAAUUAAUCCCUCCCUCUUAUAAGAUAAUUUAUAUAAAAUGGUUAGUUACAGGACUUGGGCACUUUGGAAAUGCUCAGUAAUCGUUAGCUGUUUUGAUGGUAAUGGGUUCUGAGAAAGGGAGGGAACUGCUGUCUUCCACAAAUUUCUGAAAUUAUAGGAAGUAAGCCCUAAUUGUUAACACUUCCACAGAGCUUAUUAUGUGCCAGUCACUAUUAUAAGUGCUUUACAAAAAUUAACCCUUUUAAUCCUCUUGCUGUUUCCACUUUACAGAUACAGAAGUUGAGAUACAGAGAGGUGAAGGAACUUGUCCCAGGCCCUACAGCUAAUCAAAAAAAAAAAAAGAGAGAGAGAAAAUUCAUUACCAGUGGACGUUCUGUAAGCAGAAGAAAUAUGAUACCUGAGAGAAACUUGGAUCUACAUAAAGAAAUGAUGAUCUCUGGAAACAGAUAGAAUAAAGCAGAUUUCUCAUCAGAAACUGUGAAAGCCAGAAAGAAGUGGCACAAUAUGUUUAAGUACUG